UGGGGAAUAUUGCACAAUGGGCGCAAGCCUGAUGCAGCCAUGCCGCGUGUGUGAAGAAGGCCUUCGGGUUGUAAAGUACUUUCAGCGGGGAGGAAGGCGAUAAGGUUAAUAACCUUGUCGAUUGACGUUACCCGCAGAAGAAGCACCGGCUAACUCCGUGCCAGCAGCCGCGGUAAUACGGAGGGUGCAAGCGUUAAUCGGAAUUACUGGGCGUAAAGCGCACGCAGGCGGUCUGUCAAGUCGGAUGUGAAAUCCCCGGGCUCAACCUGGGAACUGCAUUCGA
Molecule: ribosomal RNA, 283 nt
Filed under: uncultured Klebsiella sp.
Lineage: Bacteria; Pseudomonadati; Pseudomonadota; Gammaproteobacteria; Enterobacterales; Enterobacteriaceae
Description: partial 16S ribosomal RNA
Rfam family: Bacterial small subunit ribosomal RNA
Source: RNAcentral